RNAcentral lists this ribosomal RNA (106 nucleotides) under Salmonella enterica subsp. enterica serovar Enteritidis str. SE15-1. RNAcentral's name for it is "partial 23S ribosomal RNA". It matches the Rfam family "Bacterial large subunit ribosomal RNA", at positions 588 to 696 of the family's 2925-position model. Lineage: Bacteria; Pseudomonadati; Pseudomonadota; Gammaproteobacteria; Enterobacterales; Enterobacteriaceae. The record is from RNAcentral.
GUGGGGUGACUGCGUACCUUUUGUAUAAUGGGUCAGCGACUUAUAUUCUGUAGCAAGGUUAACCGAAUAGGGGAGCCGGAGGGAAACCGAGUCUUAAUUGGGCGUU